This 165-nucleotide non-coding RNA is filed under the name Platyophrya macrostoma. The record is from RNAcentral. Lineage: Eukaryota; Ciliophora; Colpodea; Cyrtolophosidida; Platyophryidae.
UACACACGAGUGCGAUGGAGAGAGAGAGAGAGAAGAACGAGGAAGAGAUGUCUCGACCCCUCGUUCUUCUCACACUUUUACUUUCCUCCACUCCAUUGUGAUUCUCAUUUUUUUGUUUUCUUUUUUGUUUUGAAGUAAAACAAUUUUGAAGGAAAAAAUGGACGG